CAGUAGCCACGGUAAUACGUAGGUGGCAAGCGUUGUCCGGAAUUAUUGGGCGUAAAGGGCUCGCAGGCGGUUUCUUAAGUCUGAUGUGAAAGCCCCCGGCUCAACCGGGGAGGGUCAUUGGAAACUGGGAAACUUGAGUGCAGAAGAGGAGAGUGGAAUUCCACGUGUAGCGGUGAAAUGCGUAGGGAUGUGGAGGAACACCAGUGGCGAAGGCGACUCUCUGGUCUGUAACUGACGCUGAGGAGCGAAAGCGUGGGGAGCGAACAGGAUUAGAUACCCCGGUAGUCCCUGUCUCUUAUAC
Molecule: ribosomal RNA, 301 nt
Filed under: uncultured bacterium
Lineage: Bacteria
Description: partial 16S ribosomal RNA
Rfam family: Bacterial small subunit ribosomal RNA
Source: RNAcentral